AUUGAACGCUAGCGGCAUGCUUAACACAUGCAAGUCGAACGGUAGCAGACCUAGCUUGCUAGGUGCUGACGAGUGGCGGACGGGUGAGUAACGCGUAGGAAUUUACCUUGUAGAGGGGGAUAACUUGGGGAAACUCAAGCUAAUACCGCAUAAGCCCGCGAGGGGAAAGUUUGGGACCGAAAGGCCAGACGCUAUGAGAUGAGCCUGCGUCAGAUUAGCUAGUUGGUAGGGUAAAGGCCAACCAAGGCGAAGAUCUGUAGCUGGUCUGAGAGGACGACCAGCCACACUGGGACUGAGACACGGCCCAGAGAACUACGGGAGGCAGCAGUGGGGAAUAAUGGACAAUGGGCGAAAGCCUGAUCCAGCAAUGCAGCGUGUGUGAAGAAGGCCUGCGGGUUGUAAAGCACUUUCGGUGAGGAGGAAGUUGUUGUGGUGAAUAGCCAUGAUGAUUGACGUUACUCACAGAAGAAGCACCGGCUAACUCUGUGCCAGCCGCCGCAGUAA
This 504-nucleotide ribosomal RNA is filed under the name uncultured bacterium. RNAcentral describes it as "partial 16S ribosomal RNA". It matches the Rfam family "Bacterial small subunit ribosomal RNA", at positions 29 to 523 of the family's 1533-position model. The record is from RNAcentral.